UAAGCGACUUUGAUUACUCUGAAACACCGCCCUCUGACGGAGAUCGCUGGAGUUUUAAUCUGCCGCCGAGUUCGCUCCAGUCCACAGCAAGAUACACUAAGUUGCGGUGCCGACGAGCGUACCGGACAAAAACGCGUUCGCGAGAGUGUCAAAUUUGUGCGUGUUUUUCGAUUAUUGUUAAUCCAGUAAAACAGUGUGGGUUUGCAAUACUUUGCUGUAUUGCAUCUUUAAGGCGCUGGUAAUGGCUGAGUCAACGUUAUGUUCACACGAGGAAUUAACGCUAUCUUCCAAAUGAAACUGUCGAACCCGUUAUGAAGUUAGUUUACGCUAAAUAUUUCUAGCGUUCUCAAAACACACAGUUCUCCGUGUAUGAGGUACUUGUUCGUUAAACCUAAUCUCAACCAGGUAUGCAUAUAUACUGAAAGGCAGAUGCUUUACAAUUGGCGGAGUAAAUCGGUUGUCAAGGUGACGACAAAAAAAAAAAAACGUGAGAAGGAAACUAUGUGUUGAAGAGCGAUUACAAAAAUCAUUAGCAAAUGAAAAUCUUUGGUUGCGAACAUUGUGCAUAUAUGUGAAAGGUGAUGCUCUACUUGAAGUCCAUGAUGAUGACGCCACGAUCGUAGCUUGGAUGAAUCGACGACACUCCCGAAUAAAAUUUUGUACAUUGCGUGGGUGGAGAUGUUGAAAUGCCUGGACGAAGCAACUAAAAGUCAUCACAAUACUGUAAUAUUUAUAAUCGCCCUGUCUUAUACAAGGCAUUUGAACGCUAUACGUUCCUAGCUUAUAUUAACAACAAACAGCACGCGCAAAGUUUAGAGUACUAUGUUGUUUUUUUUACAGUUUACUCAACAAGUUGUCCUGAUAAUAACACUUUACAACAAUGUCGCUGCCAUAUAA
This is a long non-coding RNA of Limulus polyphemus (Atlantic horseshoe crab), 897 nucleotides long. RefSeq lists it as uncharacterized. The record is from RefSeq and is a predicted model, not a curated record. NCBI's taxonomy places the organism in Eukaryota, Metazoa, Arthropoda, Merostomata, Xiphosura, Limulidae. The transcript is spliced from 4 exons.